CCCGCCGUAGGGGAAUNUUNCACAAUGGACGCAAGUCUGAUGGAGCAACGCCGCGUGAGUGAAGAAGGCUUUCGGGUCGUAAAACUCUGUUGUUGGAGAAGAAUGGUCGGCAGAGUAACUGNUGUCGGCGUGACGGUAUCCAACCAGAAAGCCACGGCUAACUACGUGCCAGCAGCCGCGGUAAUAA
RNAcentral lists this ribosomal RNA (187 nucleotides) under uncultured pozol bacterium #3. RNAcentral's name for it is "partial 16S small subunit ribosomal RNA". It matches the Rfam family "Bacterial small subunit ribosomal RNA", at positions 348 to 526 of the family's 1533-position model. The record is from RNAcentral.